RNAcentral lists this long non-coding RNA (2993 nucleotides) under Homo sapiens (human). Its description in RNAcentral is "HSALNT0118090". The record is from RNAcentral. Lineage: Eukaryota; Metazoa; Chordata; Mammalia; Primates; Hominidae.
GGACAGCGGGCCUCACUCCGGCGGGCGUGCUGAGGAGAAGCCUCACCAGGUAGACACGUGCAGGGAGCGGGGCAGUGAGGACCCGGGGCUACAGAGGACAUCGGCGUGAGUCCUCAGAAAGGGCAGAUGCCCUGAAGUGGGUGUCAGGCAGAGGGCGGGGCCUAGAGCCGGCUGAGGCCAGAGCCUCCCCACGUGUGCAAGGACGCCCUGGGUCAAAGUCACAGUACUGGAAUCUGAGCACGCGUCCGUCUGUGGCAAGAGAGAAGCACAGAUGAAGCACAUGCUUUGCUCCUGCACCGCUCCCACGCCUCCGCACUCCAGAACUGAUCCUUGGCAGCCCGCAUGCUGGGGACAGCUCCCGGGUAAUCAGAUAUUAGCCCUGCUUGUUCCAGAAAAGGCUGAUGCCUGGGUGCUGUGCUGAGGUUAGGGCCUGCCUGGGUGGGGCUCCUGCAAAUCUCCUCGCCACAGCUGUCUGCUGGGCAGACCAUUUCCUACCCCAAGACUGGGCUCACUGCGCAGGCACCAGAUGUGGCUCAUAGCUCCCUCUCCGCCGGGCCAGGCCCUGAAAUGCUCACCUCCAAGGUGGCUGCUCAACUGAGAUUUUAGUAGCAGGAACCCGCAAUUCCAAAGGUCACCUGAUUGAGAAAUGCCGUACUCAAAGCCAAACACUUCUGUCUAGCAACUCCAGAAAUCACAUAAAGAAAGAGGCAAAGCGAAAAUAGGUCACAGCCUCCUUGUGCAGAAGACUUAGGAAGCUCCAGGCCCCCUCUCAGGGAAGCAAGGGCUCAAUAAAUAUCUGACUUUCCGUCCACCCUUCUCAGGCUGCCGGAGUGAUUACCUACAAGGCAAAUCUGAUUGCGCAGCUUUCCCACUCAAAGACCUUGGAUGAAUUCCUGCUGCCGUUCAACACAGGCCUCCAAACUUUUUUUUAGUGAUGUGAAACUCUUUCUUCAAACCAAGUCUUAGAAUCCUAAGAUCAAAUGCAGGCAAAAGUGGUGAAUUUUACCACCUGUUUGUAAGUCUGGGUUUAUAACUUUACCGUAAAUCACCUAGAACACAGGCUAGCCGAAUCGGGGUGUCUGGUAUGGCAAUAUCCCGAGAGCUAACCUGGGGCUGGGGCAAUGUUCUGUGGCUGCUGCACUUGCCUCUAACAGGCCAGUUUAAAACGUCCAGGUCUCAGGGCCACAUUCUCCAGGACACAGCAGGGAGCUCACAGUAGCUCAAGACCCGGCCCAGCCUCCAUCCCCAGCCUUGGAGCUGUCAGUGCUCCCAAAGGCUGAAAGCAUUCGGUCUUGGCUGAGUGGACAGCCCCCUUCCCUUCUUCCAAGGCUUUAGAAGCCACCUAUCUCCAGAUCCCUCUCAAAAGGAGACUUCCACCCACAGAGACCCCACCCAGAAGGAGCUGUGUGUGAGGCACUGAAUGAAACCUCUUUCAGAUGGCUUAUCUCACUGUACUCUCAACAUGUGUCUCCCUUACGGGACUGUGGGCAACUUGAGGACAGGCACACCUCAUUCAUUCCUCACCCCCCACUGUACAUACGACACCUGCACAGGGAAAGUCCUUACUUUGUCUCUGUGAAAGGGUGAAUGAGUCAAGGAACUGGGAUGUUUUAAAAUAGAAUUUGUUGCUUUGGGGAACGGAAAAAUUCAGGCUUUUCAUCUGUGUUACCAGAGUUGGUAUGCUGGCUGUAAUGCUGAAAAGUCAGAAGUAAACGCGUUCCCCGGGACCCAGGGCAUGCGCUUCAUCUCAGCGGCUUCUUACAAGGAUUGGGUGCAAGUGCUGCAGCAGAAAGAUGUUUCCAGGAACAUGGGAACCAAGGCUAGGUCUGCAUCUUCUCUGAAAAACUAGCCUGUUGUUUCUCAAACACACAUCAACAUAGCCUGAUAUUUCAGAGAGGAAGGGAAGGUCGGUUACAAACGGUAUCGCCAUGAGCCGCAAACGAAUGGAAGAAAUUCCACGUUAAAAAAAUGUGAAUUUCAUUCCAUAAGAAAAACCUUUAGUACGUAGCUCAGAAAACAGUCAAGAGGCCCAUGAUCAUCUCGGUUCAGGAAAUGCUAGGCUGCUGGAGACAGCCUUUUGUUUAACCUCAUAAACAUCUAACAAACACGGAAGACAUCAACUUGAUUGUUAUUUCUCUCCUUUUAAAUACCAUCACUCCUUUUUUUUUCUUAUUUUGGGGAUAGGGUCUUGCACUCUCUCUCAGGCUGGAGUGCAGUGAUGCAAUCUUGGCUCACUGCAGCCUCAACCUCCUGGGCUCAAGCGAUCCUCCCACCUUAGCCUCCCAAGUAGCUGGGACCAACAGGUGCAUGCCAUCAUGCCCGGCUAAUAGUCUGAAUUUUUUCUUUGGAGAGAUGGGGUCUCACAAUGUUGCCCAGGCUGGUCUUGAACUCCUGGGCUCAAGCAAACCACCUGCCUCGGUCUCCCAAGGUGCUGGGAUGACAGGCCUGAGCCACCACGCCCGGCCACCGCCGCUCCCUUACCCAGGAUGAUGCCGUUGGGCUCCUCCGGAGGUUGCCACACUAUCCGCACGGAGUUUCAGGCAUUCCCUGGGGUCCUGGGAUGUGUUGCCAGAUAAGGGGGCACUACACGAAGUGUGUGGAGCCCCUGCCAAGAGGAGCGUCCACAGCUGACAUCCACAGCUCGGCCCCGCCCCAGCCUCUGCUGCCUCUCCCCAGCACUGCCCACGGCAGAGUUAUGAGGGAAACUCAGUACAGGUUCAUAAUUAGGCUGUAAAAAUCCACUCCAGGCUGAAAUUGGCCAUAUAAGUGCUCAGUGACUGAAAAACAAUUUUGUUUUGUUUCCCUCAACUGCAAAAGAAAGUGGUUUGAAAAUUAAGUUAAAAGCGACAACAAUCCAAAUUGUUUGCAUUGGAAAGGCCAACCUGGGAGGCAGCAAGGCUCCCGAAGGCGCGAACCCUGGACCUACCAUCGUCUUUGGUGCGCUCCAGGAUGAGGGGCGUGCUGGGGACCCCGUUCCCGAUGCGGGUGAACGC